UACGAAGGGGGCUAGCGUCGUUCGGAAUUACUGGGCGUAAAGCGCACGUAGGCGGGUCGUUAAGUCAGGGGUGAAAUCCCGGAGCUCAACUCCGGAACUGCCUUUGAUACUGGCGAUCUUGAGAUCGGAAGAGGCGAGUGGAAUUCCCAGUGUAGAGGUGAAAUUCGUAGAUAUUGGGAAGAACACCAGUGGCGAAGGCGGCUCACUGGUCCGAUACUGACGCUGAGGUGCGAGAGCGUGGGGAGCAAACAGG
RNAcentral lists this ribosomal RNA (253 nucleotides) under uncultured bacterium. RNAcentral describes it as "partial 16S ribosomal RNA". It matches the Rfam family "Bacterial small subunit ribosomal RNA", at positions 524 to 776 of the family's 1533-position model. The record is from RNAcentral.